Megalobrama amblycephala (Wuchang bream) is the source of this 2397-nucleotide long non-coding RNA. RefSeq lists it as uncharacterized. Lineage: Eukaryota; Metazoa; Chordata; Actinopteri; Cypriniformes; Xenocyprididae. The record is from RefSeq and is a predicted model, not a curated record. The transcript is spliced from 3 exons.
UAUAAAAAUACCCAUGUACAUGUGGACUAGGCCAUAGUUGCAACUCUUGCGUCAUCAGAACAGGGUGUUCAACGCACCACCGUUUCCGUUUAAAAACGUGUUGCAACGUUUUGUCGGGGCUGAACGCAGCCCUGUUCUGAUUGAGUGUGUUUUUGCGUUGCACCACGCCCUAUUCUGGCGUUUGGUGCGGUGCGGACAGACAAAUUGCUUCCGCUGGAAUCUCGUUGCGUCGCUCCUAAGGAAAUAUAAACUUUAUGGCAACAGUCCAGCAUUCCUUUUCUUGCUUAUAAAUUGCAUAAAAUGUCAGUAAAAUAUGAUUUGACUGGCUGAAUAAGGCACUUAAUGGAGGAUGACUGUGUUAGAUGAGUCUAUAAAGCCAAGCUGAGCUGCCAGAGCAAAAUACUUGUAAACAGUACACAAAUUGAGAUUUGCAGGAGUCAAGGGACUGUGCCACCUUCCUGUCAUUUCCUCCCAAGGCUCACCGCUCAAACAUAGCCUGUGGCAAGAAAUCUGCAGUUUUCAUGGCAUCAUCACUUCUUUGCCUGUUAUGGAGUCAUUUCCCAAAUUGUUCUGCUGAGACUACCUGGCUUCCAGUAAGUCUUGCUUUCACUUUCACUCUGCUUCCAAAGCCUCAGGGCAGGGCACUCUGAAUCUGACAUAUAAGGGCUUCUUUUUACACUGCCUGUGGCUAUGGAUCACCCGCACUGACGUGCUUCUGUUAAAAUAUUCCUAAAGUAUGUUGUGUUAUCUCCUCACUGUAUAUGCAAAGUUCCUUGGGGUGCAUUGCAAUGAAAAGGAUGCUGUGAGUUCCUGGACGGAGGUAUACAUACAGAUGUUAUCAUUGCAGACCCGAAGGCUGAGUUUCUUGGAAGGGGUGGAUGAAUUGUGACUUGACUUCCAAUCCACCUACAGCAUUUAAAGAAAAAAAAAAAAAUUAAAUAGUACAACCAGCACUGCUUGAAGAACUUGUUGCCGGGGAACGAGAUGGUAACAGGUCAUGGAACACCCCCUCAGGGUUUUGUUCAAUGAGAUGCAAGUCAUCCUGUCUGUCUGUUUGCCUCUCAGAGCAUAUGCUAACCUUCAGCUAUAAAAGGGAUAUGGUAGUAUUCUUCAUCAACUGAACAUCUGUUAUUGCACUUUCCGAGCACAUUUUUACUCAGUUUUAUCAAAUCACGUUAUGUCAAUAGCAUGAUACACAUUUAUUAACUUUAAAAUUAUAAAUGCAACGAUGAGCAUGCUUUUAAUUUCUAAAUAGGAAUUUAUUUUAACAGUUUUAUGGGGCAUAAAGUAAAAAAAAAGUCAGGUUGAUGACUGACAUGAUACUGUAAUGAAGUCUUAUUAAAAGAAUAAAAUUCUUGAAAAGAAAGUGUAUAUAGUCGUAGAAGUAAUUUGGCUUGAUCUUUUAUUAUUAUUUCUUUUAAAUGAAAAAAACAAGUCAUGUGAUCCAACCAACAUGCAGAAAAAAAUAAAUAAAACAGGAAAUAUUAUAGAGAUGAUCCCUGCUGACUGACUUAAGUUUCUUAAAAUAUCAUAUAAACAUUAUACUACUUUAUGUAAUUGUACUAAAUUAUAUGAUAUUUUAUCAUAAAGGUGUGUUCAGGUGCAUUGUUGGCAUGUUGCUAUUUUGAGGCAACUGAAAACGACUGUGGCAUUGCCCAAAAAAAAAAAAACUGGUCCAAAGUCAGUGGUGCAGUAAUUUUUGCAGUAAUGACGAAUGAAAUUGGCUAAUUAUUUGACCAGUCGGGGCAAUACACACAUGUAUUUAAACUGACUUGUCAGGUUGGGGGUGUCUAUAUUCUGCCAUGUAAAUAGCAAUUUGCCAUGGUGCAAGCGCACCUGGCUUUUAAAGAGAAUGGGAGAUGAUACUCUGGUUUAUUGCCCAAAACACACCCAUGACUCAUUUCACGAGUUCACACUUACAAAUAAGUCAGAUAAAAUAAAUGGUAAUUGUUUUUGGCAUGCUGUCCGGGGAGAGGGCUCCGAGCUUUUUUAUUUGGCCCGAACACAGAGUACCCCCACCCCCCCUAUUUAGGUUAGGAAGUAACCAAGUGAGUGUGAGGAGACGGGGUGGUGGAGGGAUGCUGAAAAUUGUUGAGGAUUCAUGGGUGAGUUGACUGUGGUUAUAUAUAUGCCUGUACUCAUUCUGAUUGGGUAGAUAUGUUGAUUACUGAUUGUUGACAGCUGGUUGAGAUGAUGUGAUAGUUGGAUAACUUAUUUGACUUUGUUCCUCCUGAACUACGUUAAUAAAACAUCAUUAAGAGACAAGGUACAACCCACCAUUUUUUUCAUAGUUAAACUAACAAAAGUGGAUUCAGACAUUCCCUUACCUGCACCAUACACUUCAGACCAUGUGCUUAGAUUGUUAAAAUAGGGCCCAAUGUGGUGUGACUCCCUAAA